RNAcentral lists this transfer RNA (73 nucleotides) under Puccinia triticina 1-1 BBBD Race 1. Its description in RNAcentral is "tRNA-Pro (TGG) (tRNA-Pro-TGG-37-1)". It matches the Rfam family "tRNA". From Rfam's summary of the family: Transfer RNA (tRNA) molecules are approximately 80 nucleotides in length. The record is from RNAcentral. Lineage: Eukaryota; Fungi; Basidiomycota; Pucciniomycetes; Pucciniales; Pucciniaceae.
GCAUCCUUAGUACAGUGGUUAGUACACUUGACAUGGAUAUAAGAGACAUGGGUUCAACUCCCCAUAGGACACA